AUACGGAGGACGCGAGCGUUAUCCGGAUUCAUUGGGUUUAAAGGGUGCGCAGGCGGCCGUGCAAGUCAGCGGUGAAAGCCCGGGGCUCAACCCCGGAAGUGCCGUUGAUACUGCAUGGCUGGAAUGCGGUCGAGGCGGGCGGGACGUGGCGUGUAGGGGGGAAAUGCGUGGUUAUGCCGCAGAACGCCGGUAGCGGGGGCAGCCGGCCAGGCCUGCAGGGACGCUCGGGCACGAAAGCGGGGGGAUCGAACAGGAUUAGAGACCCUGGUAGUCCACGCCGUAAACGAUGGGCGCUCGUCGUCGGCGACAGACAGUCGGCGGCCAAGCGAAAGCGAUAAGCGCCCCACCUGGGGAGUACGGUCGCAAGGCUGAAACUCAAAUGAAUUGACGGGG
This 393-nucleotide ribosomal RNA is filed under the name uncultured bacterium. Its description in RNAcentral is "partial 16S ribosomal RNA". It matches the Rfam family "Bacterial small subunit ribosomal RNA", at positions 523 to 918 of the family's 1533-position model. The record is from RNAcentral.